GGGUAGGUGCCGGAGUCUGGUCAAUCGGGUCAGUCUGUAAAACUGAUGCCUUCGGGCUACGCAGGUUCAAAUCCUGCCCUACCCA
Molecule: transfer RNA, 85 nt
Filed under: bacterium
Lineage: Bacteria
Description: tRNA-Tyr
Rfam family: tRNA
About the family: Transfer RNA (tRNA) molecules are approximately 80 nucleotides in length. Their secondary structure includes four short double-helical elements and three loops (D, anti-codon, and T loops).
Source: RNAcentral